This 213-nucleotide long non-coding RNA is filed under the name Lathyrus oleraceus (garden pea). RNAcentral describes it as "Pisum sativum (pea) long non-coding RNA (PSAT_LNC031123)". Lineage: Eukaryota; Viridiplantae; Streptophyta; Magnoliopsida; Fabales; Fabaceae. The record is from RNAcentral.
UUCUUUCCAUUGACUGAUGUUGUUUUAACAGGACCAAACAGAUCAAUGUGAAGAAGAAAAUAGAGAUUGUGUAGUGAUAAGAAAAUAGAGAUUUAGGUUUGUCAUUAGUGGAAGAUUUAUCUUCUCUAGGGUCAUACCCAAUUCCUCUUUUAUUGUUCUGACUAACCCCAUAAAUCAUGGAUGUCAUUCUGCUUCUCUCUAUCCCAUUCUUCA